Molecule: non-coding RNA, 693 nt
Organism: Callorhinus ursinus (northern fur seal)
Lineage: Eukaryota; Metazoa; Chordata; Mammalia; Carnivora; Otariidae
Source: RefSeq, a predicted model, not a curated record
AGAUGAAGAAAUAUUGAAGUGGAGUUAAUGUUUUGCAGUGAUUACCUAAUGGAUUUGAUACAUGAGGAAGACCACACGGAAAAGCAUACUUGGAGGCGGUGGAGGGGCAACUGCGGCUGAAGGCUCUGCCUGAUGGAUCUCCAAACAGAACCAGGAUUCUUCGCUGCUUGAACAUCAGAAGCGGUCAGUGCCAAGAGCUGACCCAGACCCGACCGAGGUCUCAUCUUAGCUGUGUGCCCACAGACUGACUUUGCAUGUGGUUCAUUAACUUCCUGCACCCUUCUGUUAUCUUGUGUGUUUGGGGUUUGUCUUCUGUCCUGCUCCGUGUGCUGUGUGAGAAGCCAAGUUUAAUCACAUGGUGAGAUGUCAUUGAAUCUGGAAUCCUGAACCUGCUUUAUAAUUGUGAUUUAACUUUGCUUUACAAUUGAACACAGCUGACACUGUGGAAAGACACAACUCGUGUGUGCGCCUUCAUAGCGUGCUCAUGACAGACCUCCUCACUCAGGGACAUUUUAGUGAAUUCUAAGAAGUCCAGGUUCGAGGCUACUAUGCCUGAAAGGGAAAAAGGAAGAGACAGGAAAACUCUAAAAAACAGCCUCAAGGGCUCCAAGUACAACUGUCUGGGAUACUUUUUGUAGGAACAAAACAAUCAGGAAAUGCUAAGGGAAUUACCAUAUAUGUCAUAAUAUGUUG